RNAcentral lists this transfer RNA (74 nucleotides) under Elusimicrobia bacterium RIFOXYA2_FULL_40_6. RNAcentral's name for it is "tRNA-Met". It matches the Rfam family "tRNA". Rfam says of the family: Transfer RNA (tRNA) molecules are approximately 80 nucleotides in length. Their secondary structure includes four short double-helical elements and three loops (D, anti-codon, and T loops). The record is from RNAcentral. Lineage: Bacteria; Pseudomonadati; Elusimicrobiota.
CGCGGGGUGGAGCAGCCCGGUAGCUCGUCAGGCUCAUAACCUGAAGGUCGUAGGUUCAAAUCCUACCUCCGCAU